Molecule: transfer RNA, 71 nt
Filed under: Mucilaginibacter ginsenosidivorans
Lineage: Bacteria; Pseudomonadati; Bacteroidota; Sphingobacteriia; Sphingobacteriales; Sphingobacteriaceae
Also listed under: 4 other names
Description: Sphingoterrabacterium koreensis tRNA
Rfam family: tRNA
About the family: Transfer RNA (tRNA) molecules are approximately 80 nucleotides in length. Their secondary structure includes four short double-helical elements and three loops (D, anti-codon, and T loops).
Source: Rfam by way of RNAcentral
AGUCGGGUGACCGAGUGGAUAGGUGAUGGUCUGCAAAACCUUUUACGGCAGUUCGAAUCUGCCCCCGACGU